RNAcentral lists this ribosomal RNA (1372 nucleotides) under uncultured bacterium. RNAcentral describes it as "bacterial SSU rRNA". It matches the Rfam family "Bacterial small subunit ribosomal RNA", at positions 28 to 1381 of the family's 1533-position model. The record is from RNAcentral.
GAUGAACGCUGGCGGCGUGCCUAAUACAUGCAAGUCGAGCGAACGGACGAGAAGCUUGCUUCUCUGAUGUUAGCGGCGGACGGGUGAGUAACACGUGGAUAACCUACCUAUAAGACUGGGAUAACUUCGGGAAACCGGAGCUAAUACCGGAUAAUAUUUUGAACCGCAUGGUUCAAAAGUGAAAGACGGUCUUGCUGUCACUUAUAGAUGGAUCCGCGCUGCAUUAGCUAGUUGGUAAGGUAACGGCUUACCAAGGCAACGAUGCAUAGCCGACCUGAGAGGGUGAUCGGCCACACUGGAACUGAGACACGGUCCAGACUCCUACGGGAGGCAGCAGUAGGGAAUCUUCCGCAAUGGGCGAAAGCCUGACGGAGCAACGCCGCGUGAGUGAUGAAGGUCUUCGGAUCGUAAAACUCUGUUAUUAGGGAAGAACAUAUGUGUAAGUAACUGUGCACAUCUUGACGGUACCUAAUCAGAAAGCCACGGCUAACUACGUGCCAGCAGCCGCGGUAAUACGUAGGUGGCAAGCGUUAUCCGGAAUUAUUGGGCGUAAAGCGCGCGUAGGCGGUUUUUUAAGUCUGAUGUGAAAGCCCACGGCUCAACCGUGGAGGGUCAUUGGAAACUGGAAAACUUGAGUGCAGAAGAGGAAAGUGGAAUUCCAUGUGUAGCGGUGAAAUGCGCAGAGAUAUGGAGGAACACCAGUGGCGAAGACGACUUUCUGGUCUGUAACUGACGCUGAUGUGCGAAAGCGUGGGGAUCAAACAGGAUUAGAUACCCUGGUAGUCCACGCCGUAAACGAUGAGUGCUAAGUGUUAGGGGGUUUCCGCCCCUUAGUGCUGCAGCUAACGCAUUAAGCACUCCGCCUGGGGAGUACGACCGCAAGGUUGAAACUCAAAGGAAUUGACGGGGACCCGCACAAGCGGUGGAGCAUGUGGUUUAAUUCGAAGCAACGCGAAGAACCUUACCAAAUCUUGACAUCCUUUGACAACUCUAGAGAUAGAGCCUUCCCCUUCGGGGGACAAAGUGACAGGUGGUGCAUGGUUGUCGUCAGCUCGUGUCGUGAGAUGUUGGGUUAAGUCCCGCAACGAGCGCAACCCUUAAGCUUAGUUGCCAUCAUUAAGUUGGGCACUCUAAGUUGACUGCCGGUGACAAACCGGAGGAAGGUGGGGAUGACGUCAAAUCAUCAUGCCCCUUAUGAUUUGGGCUACACACGUGCUACAAUGGACAAUACAAAGGGCAGCGAAACCGCGAGGUCAAGCAAAUCCCAUAAAGUUGUUCUCAGUUCGGAUUGUAGUCUGCAACUCGACUACAUGAAGCUGGAAUCGCUAGUAAUCGUAGAUCAGCAUGCUACGGUGAAUACGUUCCCGGGUCU